RNAcentral lists this ribosomal RNA (590 nucleotides) under uncultured bacterium. Its description in RNAcentral is "partial 16S ribosomal RNA". It matches the Rfam family "Bacterial small subunit ribosomal RNA", at positions 355 to 1376 of the family's 1533-position model. The record is from RNAcentral.
UGGGGAAUUUUGGGACAAUGGGGGAAACCCUGAUCCAGCCAUCCCGCGUGUGCGAUGAAGGCCUUCGGGUUGUAAAGCACUUUUGGCAGGAAAGAAACGUCGCGGGUUAAUACCCCGCGAAACUGACGGUACCUGCAGAAUAAGCACCGGCUAACUACGUGCCAGCAGCCGCGGUAAUACGUAGGGUGCAAGCGUUAAUCGGAAUUACUGGGCGUAAAGCGUGCGCAGGCGGUUCGGAAAGAAAAAUGUGAAAUCCCAGAGCUUAACUUUGGAACUGCAUUUUUAACUACCGGGCUAGAGUGUGUCAGAGGGAGGUGGAAUUCCGCGUGUAGCAGUGAAAUGCGUAGAUAUGCGGAGGAACACCGAUGGCGAAGGCAGCCUCCUGGGAUAACACUGACGCUCAUGCACGAAAGCGUGGGGAGCAAACAGGAUUAGAUACCCUGGUAGUCCACGCCCUAAACGAUGUCAACUAGCUGUUGGGGGCCUUCGGGCCUUGGUAGCGCAGCUAACGCGUGAAGUUGACCGCCUGGGGGAGUACGGUCGCAAGAUUAAAACUUAAAUGAAUUGACGGGGGUCAUAGCUGUUUCCCU